This 480-nucleotide ribosomal RNA is filed under the name uncultured organism. RNAcentral describes it as "partial 16S ribosomal RNA". It matches the Rfam family "Bacterial small subunit ribosomal RNA", at positions 330 to 801 of the family's 1533-position model. The record is from RNAcentral.
CGUACACUCCUGCGGGAGGCAGCAGUGGGGAAUUUUGGACAAUGGGCGAAAGCCUGAUCCAGCCAUGCCGCGUGCAGGAUGAAGGCCUUCGGGUUGUAAACUGCUUUUGUACGGAACGAAACGGCCUUUUCUAAUAAAGAGGGCUAAUGACGGUACCGUAAGAAUAAGCACCGGCUAACUACGUGCCAGCAGCCGCGGUAAUACGUAGGGUGCAAGCGUUAAUCGGAAUUAAUGGGCGUAAAGCGUGCGCAGGCGGUUAUGUAAGACAGUUGUGAAAUCCCCGGGCUCAACCUGGGAACUGCAUCUGUGACUGCAUAGCUAGAGUACGGUAGAGGGGGAUGGAAUUCCGCGUGUAGCAGUGAAAUGCGUAGAUAUGCGGAGGAACACCGAUGGCGAAGGCAAUCCCCUGGACCUGUACUGACGCUCAUGCACGAAAGCGUGGGGAGCAAACAGGAUUAGAAACCCGGGUAGUCCCAUGAU